CCUACGGGAGGCAGCAGUGAGGAAUAUUGGUCAAUGGACGCAAGUCUGAACCAGCCAUGCCGCGUGCAGGAAGACGGCUCUAUGAGUUGUAAACUGCUUUUGUACGAGGAUAAACGCAGAUACGCGUAUCUGUCUGAAAGUAUCGUACGAAUAAGGAUCGGCUAACUCCGUGCCAGCAGCCGCGGUAAUACGGAGGAUUCAAGCGUUAUCCGGAUUUAUUGGGUUUAAAGGGUGCGUAGGCGGUCGGAUAAGUUAGAGGUGAAAUCCCGAGGCUCAACUUCGGAAUUGCCUCUGAUACUGUUCGGCUAGAGAGUAGUUGCGGUAGGCGGAAUGUGUGGUGUAGCGGGGAAAUGCUUAGAGAUCAUACAGAACACCGAUUGCGAAGGCAGCUUACCAAGCUACUUCUGACGUUGAGGCACGAAAGCGUGGGGAGCAAACAGGAUUAGAUACCCCUGUAGUC
RNAcentral lists this ribosomal RNA (460 nucleotides) under uncultured bacterium. RNAcentral describes it as "partial 16S ribosomal RNA". It matches the Rfam family "Bacterial small subunit ribosomal RNA", at positions 338 to 795 of the family's 1533-position model. The record is from RNAcentral.